Molecule: non-coding RNA, 148 nt
Organism: Gorilla gorilla gorilla (western lowland gorilla)
Lineage: Eukaryota; Metazoa; Chordata; Mammalia; Primates; Hominidae
Rfam family: Metazoan signal recognition particle RNA
About the family: The signal recognition particle (SRP) is a universally conserved ribonucleoprotein. It is involved in the co-translational targeting of proteins to membranes. The eukaryotic SRP consists of a 300-nucleotide 7S RNA and six proteins: SRPs 72, 68, 54, 19, 14, and 9.
Source: Rfam
GCUGGGUGUGGUGGUGUGUGCCUGUAGUCUCAGCUACUCAGGAGGCUGAGGUGGGAGGAUCACUUGAGCCUGGGAGGUCAGGGAUGCAUGGGGCCAAGAUGGCACCACUGCACUCCAGCCUGGGCCACAGAGUGAGACCCUGUCUCUU